RNAcentral lists this ribosomal RNA (316 nucleotides) under uncultured bacterium. Its description in RNAcentral is "partial 16S ribosomal RNA". The record is from RNAcentral.
UCGCUUUCUCGUUCCCCGCCUGUUCUUGCCGUCGCCGGUCGGUCGCGGUGCGCGGGUGCGUCUGUCUGGGCCUGCCUGCUGGCGGGGGCUCCUACCUGGCCGGUGCUUCCGCUCGUCGCGCCCGCGGGGGCCUCGGGCCUCUUGCCUCGGCUGUGCCCGCUGGGCUGCUUNGUCGUGUUGGGGUAACCGGGCUUCACCCUUAGUGCGGNACGACUUCCCCUACAGCCUUGGGUCUUGACGGAGGGACUUGACCCAGGCCAACAACUUGGGACACACCUUGAGGACCACCGGGUCCCCACGAACUUCCUUACCGGGG